Molecule: ribosomal RNA, 459 nt
Filed under: uncultured bacterium
Lineage: Bacteria
Description: partial 16S ribosomal RNA
Rfam family: Bacterial small subunit ribosomal RNA
Source: RNAcentral
CCUACGGGAGGCAGCAGUGAGGAAUAUUGGUCAAUGGCCGAGAGGCUGAACCAGCCAAGUCGCGUGAGGGAAGAAUGUCCUAUGGAUUGUAAACCUCUUUUGUCAGGGAGCAAAGUCACCCACGUGUGGGGGUUGGAGAGUACCUGAAGAAAAAGCAUCGGCUAACUCCGUGCCAGCAGCCGCGGUAAUACGGAGGAUGCGAGCGUUAUCCGGAUUUAUUGGGUUUAAAGGGUGCGUAGGCGGGUUAUCAAGUCAGCGGUAAAAUCGUGGAGCUCAACUCCAUCCAGCCGUUGAAACUGAUGAUCGUGAGUGGGCGAGAAGUAUGCGGAAUGCGUGGUGUAGCGGUGAAAUGCAUAGAUAUCACGCAGAACUCCGAUUGCGAAGGCAGCAUACCGGCGCCCGACUGACGCUGAAGCACGAAAGCGUGGGUAUCGAACAGGAUUAGAUACCCGAGUAGUC